GACGAACGCUGGCGGCGCGCUUAACACAUGCAAGUCGAACGGAAAGGCCUGCUUUCCCUUGUGGAUUGCGGGUACUCGAGUGGCGAGCGGGUGAGUAACACGUGAGUGAUCUGCCCCCAACUUGGGUAUAAGCCUGGGAAACUGGGUCUAAUUCCCGAUAGGACUGCAGGGUGGUGCCUGUGGUGGAAAACGAUUUUCUAGUGGUUGGGGAUAAGCUCGCGGCCUAUCAGCUUGUUGGUGGGGUAAUGGCCUACCAAGGCGGCGACGGGUAGCCGGCCUGAGAGGGUGGACGGCCACAUUGGGACUGAGAUACGGCCCAGACUCCUACGGGAGGCAGCAGUGGGGAAUAUUGCACAAUGGGCGGAAGCCUGAUGCAGCGACGCCGCGUGGGGGAUGACGGCCUUCGGGUUGUAAACUCCUUUCGACCGCGAGGAAGCCACCUGGUUGGAAGGGUGGUGACGGUAGUGGUGGAAGAAGCACCGGCUAACUACGUG
This 494-nucleotide ribosomal RNA is filed under the name uncultured bacterium. Its description in RNAcentral is "partial 16S ribosomal RNA". It matches the Rfam family "Bacterial small subunit ribosomal RNA", at positions 28 to 507 of the family's 1533-position model. The record is from RNAcentral.